UGGGAACCUCCAUAUGCCAUGGGUGUGCCCCCCCCCCAAAAAAAGACCAAAAAAAAAAAAAAAGGAAAGAAAAUUACAAAGAGGACUACUCUUAAAAUUUAGGCAGGAAAAAUUCUGAGGGUGAUUCUAUCAGGCUGCUUGAGUCUUCUCACCCAGUAAGGAAAUAUCUUAUCCCACUAAUAGAAAACCAAAGUGAGUUUCUAAUGAAACUGAAAAAUGAACAGAUGGUGAGGGCAUUGAUGACGUGUAGUUGGUGCAUAUGAACUUUGAAUUUGCAUUUAAGGAUUUUUUUUAAUUAAGCAUGAGAUUGAAUACUAUCCUAAUUUAAGCUGUAGUUGCUGAAAAUGGUAACUGUUGUUUGGUUAAACUCAAAGAUAUCUACAUCAGAUUAUGUCUUUUAUUAGAAGUAAAACAAAUACUGAUACUGUUAUUUAGAUUAUUGUUACAACAAUCUGUAUGUAAUCAAUUCCUUGUUCAUAUUAGUACAUAAAAACAAUAAUAAACUAAAUGCUAAUCUGGAGAAGAGAAUUUUAUUCUUCUCAGGGUAAGACUCUAUACCUGGAAUAAUUUCUUAAUCAUAGGAUUAAGAUUUUAUAAGUAAUAAGUAAUGUUGCUUUUAAAAUUGAUUUUAUAGUCUGAAUUUAGUUUUCUUUUCAAACUUUAGAAUUGUGAGAUUUGAAGUGAUAUCAGAUAUUUAUAAAUGAUAGCAUUAUACCUUUGUCAUUUUUUUUAAGCAGAAGGAAAAUGUAACAAAUUCCACAGAAUUGCAGCAUCAGUUAGAUAAAACAAAGCAACAGCAUCAAGAACAACAAGCUCUUCAGCAAAACACUACGGCAAAACUUUGAGAAGCUCAGAAUGAUUGGGAAAAAGUGCUUCGUCAAUUUGGUGAUAAGGACCAAAAGAUCCAGAACCUUGAAGCCUUAUUACAGGAGAGUAAAGAAAAUAUUUCUUUCCUAGAAAAGGAAAGAGAAGAUUUUAUGCAAAUACUCAGGCUGGUGAAGGAGAGACCGCUGUUCUUAAUCAGUUGCAGGAAGAAAACCAUAUAUUACAGGAACAAGUAAGCUUGUCUAGUGUAUUCUGUUUCUAAAAUUUAUUUUUAUCUCUCUAAAUCUUACAAAGUGCUUUAUGUAAAUGGUUCUGUUAAUUUUAGUGCUUGUAAAAUUAUUAUGUAUUUCUGAAAAAAACCGUCUCAUUUACCUUAGAGGUGGGGUGCUAUUGCAGUGAAAAUAAGUUAUUUACCAUGAUUUGAUAAAGGAAAUCUCAGUUCACACCCCAGGAUGUAACUUAUUACCUGUGUGACCAUAAGCAAAUCAUUUAACCAUGUUAACUCAUUGGAAAAGUAUAGUUAGUUCAUACUGGGAAGUUAGACUUACUUCUUGGCAUUUUGUGAUGUUUUGAAAAGGAAAAGUAAGGAACAAAAUAUAAACUAUAGCAGGUGUUAGUUAUUUC
This 1449-nucleotide long non-coding RNA is filed under the name Sus scrofa (pig). Its description in RNAcentral is "lncRNA (ENSSSCG00070013337.1)". Lineage: Eukaryota; Metazoa; Chordata; Mammalia; Artiodactyla; Suidae. The record is from RNAcentral.